AUUGAACGCUGGCGGCAUGCUUUACACAUGCAAGUCGAACGGCAGCGCGGGCUUCGGCCUGGCGGCGAGUGGCGAACGGGUGAGUAAUACAUCGGAACGUGCCCAGUAGUGGGGGAUAGCUCGGCGAAAGCCGGAUUAAUACCGCAUACGACCUGAGGGUGAAAGCGGGGGAUCUUCGGACCUCCCGCUAUUGGAGCGGCCGAUGGCAGAUUAGCUAGUUGGUGGGGUAAAGGCCUACCAAGGCGACGAUCUGUAGCUGGUCUGAGAGGACGACCAGCCACACUGGGACUGAGACACGGCCCAGACUCCUACGGGAGGCAGCAGUGGGGAAUUUUGGACAAUGGGCGAAAGCCUGAUCCAGCAAUGCCGCGUGUGUGAUGAAGGCCUUCGGGUUGUAAAGCACUUUUGGCGGGAACGAAAAGGACUGUGCCAAUACCACGGUUCGAUGACGGUACCCGCAGAAUAAGCACCGGCUAACUACGUG
RNAcentral lists this ribosomal RNA (484 nucleotides) under uncultured bacterium. RNAcentral's name for it is "partial 16S ribosomal RNA". It matches the Rfam family "Bacterial small subunit ribosomal RNA", at positions 29 to 507 of the family's 1533-position model. The record is from RNAcentral.